CGCAUCAUUAUUUUUCAGUGUCACUGUUUAACAACUGUCCAGGACGCAGAAAACAGUAAACAGAACCCCAGAAGAAGGAUAACAGAUAUUGGAACUAGGAAUUUCAUCAUCAACUGAAAAUGGAAAUGAAUAAAUCUCAGAAAGAGAAAUGAAAUGAGAAUGGAAAUUCUGAAAUGCUGAUGUCAACAGAAUGUGCAGUACACAUACAUUAUAUUGUAUGUAUGUAUGUAUGUAUGUAUGUUGCGUUUAGUUAAGCAAGGGUUAGUGCGGGAGUGCGCGAGUGUUGUAAUACAGUGCGGGAGUUCUGAGAUAUUUAAUAAUUACUUUACAGAUGCAUCAACAGUUUAUACACAUUUUUUAACUGCACGAAAAGUCAUAGUCAUUGAAUUAAUUGUCAUGUUGCACGUUGUUGUUUUGCUUUUGAAUGCGAAACAAGAAGAUCCUUCUAUCCUGAGGGCCAAAGAGAGAUGACGCGUUCUAUUUAAAUAAGGCUCAUUUCAUAAGAAGUUGAAAAGCCGAAGAAGAUGAUGUUAUCCGUCCCCGCCGAGGUCGAUCCUGAAGGUUCCAAAUCAGUCAGAUUUCUAGCUGCCCCGAAGGGUCAGGGCCUGAUGUGUAUACCCAUCAAGGAAUGGGUUCCUACCCUCGCAAAGCUAAAAAGAAACUGAGCUGGAGAAGAGGCCGAUGUGGAGCAGUUGCAUCCACGCCGCGGUCGAUCCUGACGUAUCCAGCUUCUCAGCGAGAACAAGCCUUUGGGGGUCAGGGCUCGAUGUGUAUACCCAUCCAGGAAUGGGCUGCUGCCUCUAGGGGUAUAAACAGCCGCCAAGAUGCUGAGAAGCUGGGUUACAACAUUUCUUGCCAAUGUCGGGAUUUAACUAAUAGAGGGCAUGCGACAACAACAACUAUCCAGCACCAAAAAAUUUAUUGUUAUAAUUUUUUUAAUUGCUUUGAUGUUUUUUGUUUUAGUUUUGCCAAAAGAACUUGAAAGUUAAGAAGACGAAACAUUAUAAUGGAAGAUGUCAUAUUCUAUAGAGAACAUAAAAUUGAUCUACAAAUGUCAGAAUGAGAUAACGCAAGGUUGUGUUUCAUGUGUUCACGAGCAGUUCGUAGUGUAGUGUAGUGUAGUCAUAGCAAGCGCGUAGUCGUAGGUUGUAGUUGUAGCUGUAGUCGUAAUCUAGAAGUAGUGUAGUGGACUGCAAAAUGAACACAGAGAUACAAUCGUUGCAAAUGUAACUGACUGCGUUUAUUGAUGAGAUGUGAAGAUGCAGAUCGACAGUAAUUGUUCCGGAACGACCUGAAGAAACACUCAACUCUUGCCACCGUCGACGUCUACCAAGAGAGACCCGGGGCAAAGAAGCAACAUUUUGUUUUGAUAUCACGAUUUUUAAAUAAAUAAAAUCGAGACAUUAUUACAAUAUA
Dalotia coriaria is the source of this 1416-nucleotide long non-coding RNA. RefSeq lists it as uncharacterized. The transcript has 5 exons. Lineage: Eukaryota; Metazoa; Arthropoda; Insecta; Coleoptera; Staphylinidae. The record is from RefSeq and is a predicted model, not a curated record.